AGAACGAACGCUGGCGGCAUGCCUAAUACAUGCAAGUCGAACGAACUCUUCGGAGUUAGUGGCGCACGGGUGCGUAACGCGUGGGAAUCUGCCCCUUGGUUCGGAAUAACAGUUGGAAACGACUGCUAAUACCGGAUGAUGACGAAAGUCCAAAGAUUUAUCGCCAAGGGAUGAGCCCGCGUAGGAUUAGCUAGUUGGUGAGGUAAAGGCUCACCAAGGCAACGAUCCUUAGCUGGUCUGAGAGGAUGAUCAGCCACACUGGGACUGAGACACGGCCCAGACUCCGUACGGGAGCAGCAGUAGGGAAUAUGGACAAUGGGACGAAGCCUAGACUCCGAGCAAUGCCGCGUGAGUGAUGAAGUCCGUUAAGGGUUGUAAAGCUUACUUUACCCGAGUACUAGAAUAAGUAGACUAGUAGUACGGAAG
This 426-nucleotide ribosomal RNA is filed under the name uncultured soil bacterium. Its description in RNAcentral is "bacterial SSU rRNA". It matches the Rfam family "Bacterial small subunit ribosomal RNA", at positions 26 to 481 of the family's 1533-position model. The record is from RNAcentral.